UACGUAGGGCGCAAGCGUUGUCCGGAAUUAUUGGGCGUAAAGAGCUCGUAGGCGGUUUGUCGCGUCUGCCGUGAAAGUCCGGGGCUCAACUCCGGAUCUGCGGUGGGUACGGGCAGACUAGAGUGAUGUAGGGGAGACUGGAAUUCCUGGUGUAGCGGUGAAAUGCGCAGAUAUCAGGAGGAACACCGGUGGCGAAGGCGGGUCUCUGGGCCGAAACUGACGCUGAGGAGCGAAAGCGUGGGGAGCAAACAGA
This 253-nucleotide ribosomal RNA is filed under the name uncultured bacterium. RNAcentral's name for it is "partial 16S ribosomal RNA". It matches the Rfam family "Bacterial small subunit ribosomal RNA", at positions 524 to 776 of the family's 1533-position model. The record is from RNAcentral.